This 49-nucleotide ribosomal RNA is filed under the name Hematodinium sp. Its description in RNAcentral is "partial ribosomal RNA". Lineage: Eukaryota; Dinophyceae; Syndiniales; Syndiniaceae. The record is from RNAcentral.
UGAUAACAAGUAAAAGGAAUGUUGGUAGUUAUAUGAUCAGCGAUUGCAU